CCACAAAGUUAAAGCCCAAGCAGAAAGCUGGGUGGAAGACAAAACAGAACACAAGCUUUCAACACAAAAGCCCAAGACAGCCCCUACAAGUUCUUUGCUCAAGGCACUGGGUGGCAGCCUUUCCCUACAGGCACAAUCUAUUCACAGGAAACUGACCAGGAUAUAUUUUUGUUGUAGGUUCCCUUCCCCCAGUCUGAGGAACAGCAUUCUUGAAAAUCCCAAAAUCAGCUCCAGAAGAGGCUGAGCAGGGAAAGGAAGUACCUACUCCCCUUGAUAAUACUCCAGCAAGUCACAAGAAACAACAACAACAAAAGAUACUCUUCCAGCAGCAGCUCUUGCACACAUCCUCACGGUAUCCAGGCUUUGGGCAAGAACACACUACUUGGUCAGCAAAGGACACCAAAUCUUACCUACUGCCUGUCCAUUUUAGACUGGUUGCUGACAUGAAAAGUAUCACAUGUACCCUGACCUCCUGUUCACUAUUCCACAGGAAAAGAAUUGUUGGAGCCAGCUUGGGAAAAAAUGCACAUUCGGCUUUUAUAGGAAACUGUGGGGCAGCACCAUGGAAGGUUGUCUGGGCCUUGGCCAAGGCCCUGGGCUUCUGUUACCCAAGGUUCAGGCAGACAAGCUGCUAACUUCAUGAGGGGACACCCACCUGACAGGGUCCCUGCAGCUUCUCUGAGCCAAGGUAACCUCAGGCCCUGGGUACUUGUAAGUAUUCCUCAUCCCCCUAGGCCAAACCCCUUUCACUUUCCAGAAAACUGCUUGCAUUUUCUGUGACAUUUUUAAAAAUUUGACAUUAAACCUAUGAUACCUGCAUUGUGCUCCUCUGGUUUGUCAACCAAUGGGAAAGAAGGAGAACAGAAGAUGAAAAGGGAGGAGAAAAGAAAGGAGGAGAGAAGACAAAACAGGGAAGACUCAGGGAAAGAGUGUUCUCAGUGUGGAAGAAUAUCAUGCAGAUAGGGAAUGGAGGAAGGCAAACCAAAACUGUGUAACCAGAUUGGGAUUGAAAGUAUCAUUAUAAAUACAUGGAAAAGAUACAUGCUCACACAGUUUUAAAUAUCUAUAUAUCUGUACACAGAUCUUCACCAACUUAUUUUGGGGUUAUGUCCUGAUAAAACUGAGUUGAAAAUAUUGUAAUCAAAAAUGUUUAACACACAUAACCUACCAAACAUCAUAGCUUAAUCUAGCCUAACUUAGACAUGUUUAGAACACUUAUAUUAGCCUAUAGUUGGACAAAAUGCAGUAGAUGACUAUUGUAUAAUAAAGUGUUGAAUAUCUAAUGUAAUUUAUUGAAAGUGUAAAACAGAAUGGUUGCAUGGCUACCUGGUAGCUGUGGCUCUCUGUCCAGCAUCGUGGGAGAAUAUCACACAUACAUGAUCAAUAUCAUGAUGUAUCAUCAUCCUGAGAAAAUAGUAAAAAUUAAAAUUUGAAAUAUUGCUCUCUCAUAUUCUGGCUUCCAAAUGACCAAGACAAGAAGGAAUGAUGGUGUGCCAAAAAGGGCCACAUGCAGCCCAUUCACUGCACCAUCUGCAAUCAUUGUGUGUCUGAGGACAGCACAAUUGAGAAGUUCUUAAUGGGAACACCGCCAGCAGGAACAUUUCCAAAGCAAGUGUCUUUGAUGUCUCUGUGCUUCCCAAGCUGUGUGUGAAAGUCCAUUACUAUGUGAACUGUGCCAUUCACAGAAAGGUGGCCAGGAAUUGUGCUGGUGAAGCACAGAAGGACUAAACACCUCACUCUGAUUUAAUCCAUGGGUGCUGUCCCACCACCUCCACCAAAGGCCAUGUAAAGGGCUAAAUCCUUAAUCAUUGAAGAAAAACUGGGGUGAAAAAAUAAUAAAAUGGAGAUUAUACUCUAAAAAAAUUUAAGUAUGAUUUCUACUGAGUAUUGCAUUCACACCAUUGUAAAGCUAAAAAAUCAUAGGUCAAACCAUUGUAAAUUGGGGACUAUCAUACUUACUAGAACUCUCUCCUCUCUUAUAUAUAUAUAUAUGUAUAGAUGUAUAUAUAACUAUAACUAUAGCUAUGUAUAUAGCUAUAUCUACAUAUCUUUAUCUGAAAUGACCUAAAAGCAUUAUUAGUAGUGCUGAGACCUUAUUUUCAUAAACAACUUUCCUGAUGUCUAUUUUUUUAUUUAUGAAUUUGAAUGGCUAAUAUAGUCACAUGUUGAGAAAUAAAAAUGUACAAAAUAGCAUACCAUGUAAAAUCUGCCUUCCAUGCCCAAUGACCAUAUAUCCCCAUUUUCCUAGUGAAGACUCAUUUUACAAUCAUUAUCCUGGCAUAAUAAUGAAUAACCCCUUCUUU
RNAcentral lists this long non-coding RNA (2303 nucleotides) under Canis lupus familiaris (dog). RNAcentral's name for it is "lncRNA (ENSCAFG00040009204.1)". Lineage: Eukaryota; Metazoa; Chordata; Mammalia; Carnivora; Canidae. The record is from RNAcentral.